ACGGAGGGUGCAAGCGUUAUCCGGAUUCACUGGGUUUAAAGGGUGCGUAGGUGGGCAGGUAAGUCAGUGGUGAAAUCCUGUAGCUUAACUACAGAACUGCCAUUGAUACUAUUUGUCUUGAAUACCCUGGAGGUGAGCGGAAUAUGUCAUGUAGCGGUGAAAUGCUUAGAUAUGACAUAGAACACCAAUUGCGAAGGCAGCUCGCUACACAUAUAUUGACUCUGAGGCACGAAAGCGUGGGGAUCAAACAGGA
RNAcentral lists this ribosomal RNA (253 nucleotides) under uncultured prokaryote. RNAcentral's name for it is "partial 16S ribosomal RNA". It matches the Rfam family "Bacterial small subunit ribosomal RNA", at positions 525 to 777 of the family's 1533-position model. The record is from RNAcentral.